This 462-nucleotide ribosomal RNA is filed under the name uncultured bacterium. RNAcentral's name for it is "bacterial SSU rRNA". It matches the Rfam family "Bacterial small subunit ribosomal RNA", at positions 44 to 518 of the family's 1533-position model. The record is from RNAcentral.
AUGCCUAACACAUGCAAGUCGAACGGACGAGGGUAGCAAUACCCGAGUUAGUGGCGAACGGGUGAGUAACACGUGAGCAACCUGCCCUUUACACUGGGAUAGCAGUUGGAAACGACUGAUAAUACCGGAUAAGACCACAUUCCCGCAUGGGAGAGGGGUCAAAGUGCUUUAGCGGUAAAGGAUGGGCUCGCGUCCAAUUAGCUAGUUGGUGAGGUAACGGCCCACCAAGGCGACGAUUGGUAGCCGACCUGAGAGAGUGAUCGGCCACACUGGAACUGAGACACGGUCCAGACUCCUACGGGAGGCAGCAGUGGGGAAUAUUGGGCAAUGGAGGAAACUCUUACCCAAGCAAUGCCGCGUGAGGGAUGGAGGUCCUAUGGAUUGUAAACCUCUUUGAUUAGGGACAAAGAAAGUGAUGGUACCUAAAGAACAAGCCCCGGCUAACUAUGUGCCAGCCGCGGC